This 334-nucleotide unclassified non-coding RNA is filed under the name soil metagenome. RNAcentral's name for it is "partial contains 5.8S ribosomal RNA, internal transcribed spacer 2, and large subunit ribosomal RNA". The stretch from base 1 to 120 matches the Rfam family "5.8S ribosomal RNA", at positions 35 to 154 of the family's 154-position model. The record is from RNAcentral.
GAUGAAGAACGCAGCGAAAUGCGAUAAGUAGUGUGAAUUGCAGAAUUCAGUGAAUCAUCGAAUCUUUGAACGCACAUUGCGCCCCUUGGUAUUCCAUGGGGCAUGCCUGUUCGAGCGUCAUUUGUACCUUCAAGCUUUGCUUGGUGUUGGGUGUUUGUCCAUUCUCUUGCAGAGGGACUCGCCUUAAAGUAACUGGCAGCCAGUGUUUUGGUUUUGAAGCGCAGCACAAGUCGCGAUUCAACGCUAUACGCCAGCUUCCACAAGCCUUUUUCACUUUUGACCUCGGAUCAGGUAGGGAUACCCGCUGAACUUAAGCAUAUCAAUAAGCGGAGGA